GUGGACGCCAGUCUGCAUGGAGCCGACCUUGAAAUACCACCCUUUAAUGUUUGAUGUUCUAACGUGGACCCGUAAUCCGGGUUGCGGACAGUGUCUGGUGGGUAGUUUGACUGGGGCGGUCUCCUCCUAAAGAGUAACGGAGGAGCACGAAGGUUGGCUAAUCCUGGUCGGACAUCAGGAGGUUAGUGCAAUGGCAUAAGCCAGCUUGACUGCGAGCGUGACGGCGCGAGCAGGUGCGAAAGCAGGUCAUAGUGAUCCGGUGGUUCUGAAUGGAAGGGCCAUCGCUCAACGGAUAAAAGGUACUCCGGGGAUAACAGGCUGAUACCGCCCAAGAGUUCAUAUCGACGGCGGUGUUUGGCACCUCGAUGUCGGCUCAUCACAUCCUGGGGCUGAAGUAGGUCCCAAGGGUAUGGCUGUUCGCCAUUUAAAGUGGUACGCGAGCUGGGUUUAGAACGUCGUGAGACAGUUCGGUCCCUAUCUGCCGUGGGCGCUGGAGAACUGAGGGGGGCUGCUCCUAGUACGAGAGGACCGGAGUGGACGCAUCACUGGUGUUCGGGUUGUCAUGCCAAUGGCACUGCCCGGUAGCUAAAUGCGGAAAAGAUAAGUGCUGAAAGCAUCUAAGCACGAAACUUGCCCCGAGAUGAGUUCUCCCUGAGACUUAGAGUCUCCUGAAGGAACGUUGAAGACGACGACGUUGAUAGGCCGGGUGUGUAAGCGCA
This 719-nucleotide ribosomal RNA is filed under the name Salmonella enterica subsp. enterica serovar Litchfield. RNAcentral describes it as "partial 23S ribosomal RNA". It matches the Rfam family "Bacterial large subunit ribosomal RNA", at positions 2164 to 2877 of the family's 2925-position model. The record is from RNAcentral. Lineage: Bacteria; Pseudomonadati; Pseudomonadota; Gammaproteobacteria; Enterobacterales; Enterobacteriaceae.